ACGGGUGAGUAACGCGUGGGAAUCUACCCAUCUCUACGGAACAACUCCGGGAAACUGGAGCUAAUACCGUAUACGUCCUUCGGGAGAAAGAUUUAUCGGAGAUGGAUGAGCCCGCGUUGGAUUAGCUAGUUGGUGGGGUAAUGGCCUACCAAGGCGACGAUCCAUAGCUGGUCUGAGAGGAUGAUCAGCCACACUGGGACUGAGACACGGCCCAGACUCCUACGGGAGGCAGCAGUGGGGAAUAUUGGACAAUGGGCGCAAGCCUGAUCCAGCCAUGCCGCGUGAGUGAUGAAGGCCCUAGGGUUGUAAAGCUCUUUCAACGGUGAAGAUAAUGACGGUAACCGUAGGAGAAGCCCCGGCUAACUUCGUGCCAGCAGCCGCGGUAAUACGAAGGGGGCUAGCGUUGUUCGGAAUUACUGGGCGUAAAGCGCACGUAGGCGGAUACUUAAGUCAGGGGUGAGAUCCCGGGGCUCAACCCCGGAACUGCCUUUGAUACUGGGUAUCUCGAGUCCGGAAGAGGUGAGUGGAAUUCCGAGUGUAGAGGUGAAAUUCGUAGA
Molecule: ribosomal RNA, 557 nt
Filed under: uncultured Mesorhizobium sp.
Lineage: Bacteria; Pseudomonadati; Pseudomonadota; Alphaproteobacteria; Hyphomicrobiales; Phyllobacteriaceae
Description: bacterial SSU rRNA
Rfam family: Bacterial small subunit ribosomal RNA
Source: RNAcentral